ACUUUUAAAGGAUAACAGCUAAUCCACUGGUCUUAGGAAC
This 40-nucleotide transfer RNA is filed under the name Chalcostigma olivaceum. Its description in RNAcentral is "partial tRNA-Leu". Lineage: Eukaryota; Metazoa; Chordata; Aves; Apodiformes; Trochilidae. The record is from RNAcentral.